This 410-nucleotide ribosomal RNA is filed under the name Bacteroidota bacterium. RNAcentral's name for it is "Bacteroidetes bacterium partial 16S ribosomal RNA". It matches the Rfam family "Bacterial small subunit ribosomal RNA", at positions 355 to 776 of the family's 1533-position model. The record is from RNAcentral. Lineage: Bacteria; Pseudomonadati; Bacteroidota.
UGGGGAAUAUUGCGCAAUGGGGGAAACCCUGACGCAGCGACGCCGCGUGCGGGAUGAAGGCCUUCGGGUUGUAAACCGCUUUUGAUUGGGAGCAAGCUUUCGGGUGAGUGUACCUUUCGAAUAAGCGCCGGCUAACUACGUGCCAGCAGCCGCGGUAAUACGUAGGGCGCAAGCGUUGUCCGGAAUCACUGGGCGUAAAGGGUUCGCAGGCGGAAAUGCAAGUCAGGUGUAAAAGGCAGUAGCUUAACUACUGUAAGCAUUUGAAACUGCAUAUCUUGAGAAGAGUAGAGGUAAGUGGAAUUUUUAGUGUAGCGGUGAAAUGCGUAGAUAUUAAAAAGAAUACCGGUGGCGAAGGCGACUUACUGGGCUCAUUCUGACGCUGAGGAACGAAAGCGUGGGUAGCAAACAGG